RNAcentral lists this ribosomal RNA (406 nucleotides) under uncultured bacterium. RNAcentral's name for it is "partial 16S ribosomal RNA". It matches the Rfam family "Bacterial small subunit ribosomal RNA", at positions 30 to 526 of the family's 1533-position model. The record is from RNAcentral.
AUUGAACGCUGGCGGCAGGCCUAACACAUGCAAGUCGAACGAGUGGCGUACGGGUGAGUAAUUUCUGGGAAACUGCCCGAUGGAGGGGGAUACCUCCUGGAAACGGUAGCUAAUACCGCAUACCAUCUGUUGUCCCCAGAUGGGAUUAGCUAGUAGGUGGGGUAACGGCUCACCCAGGCGACGAUCCCUAGCUGGUCUGAGGGGAUGACCGGCCACACUGGAACUGAGACACGGUCCAGAAUCCUACGGGAGGCAGCAGUGGGGAAUAUUGCACAAUGGGCGCAAGCCUGAUGCAGCCAUGCCGCGUGUAUGAAGAAGGCCUGCGGGUUGUAAAGUACUGUCAACGAGGAGGCGUUACUCGCAGAAGAAGCACCGGCUAACUCCGUACCAGCAGCCGCGGUAAUAC